GAUGAACGCUAGCGGCAGGCCUAAUACAUGCAAGACGAACGGUAAGUUGAGUAGCAAUACUUAGCCAAGAGUGUCGUACGGGUGCGUAACACGUAUGCAACCUACCCUAUACAGGAGGAUAGCCUAGGGAAACCUGGAUUAACCCUUCAUAGUAUUAUUGGAUGGCAUCAUUUGAUAAUUAAAACUGAGGUGGUAUAGGAUGGGCAUGCGUCUGAUUAGUUAGUUGGCGGGGUAAUGGCCCACCAAGACGAUGAUCAGUAGGGGUUCUGAGAGGAAGAUCCCCCACACUGGCACUGAGAUACGGGCCAGACUCCUACGGGAGGCAGCAGUAGGGAAUAUUGGUCAAUGGAUGCAAGUCUGAACCAGCCAUGCCGCGUGCAGGAAGAAGGCCUUUCUGGGGUUGUAAACUGCUUUUGCCAGGGGAUAAAAUUUCCAUGCGUGGAAAACUGAAGGUACCUGGUGAAUAAGCCACGGCUAACUACGUGCCAGCAG
This 492-nucleotide ribosomal RNA is filed under the name uncultured bacterium. RNAcentral's name for it is "bacterial SSU rRNA". It matches the Rfam family "Bacterial small subunit ribosomal RNA", at positions 28 to 514 of the family's 1533-position model. The record is from RNAcentral.